Long non-coding RNA from Pipistrellus kuhlii (Kuhl's pipistrelle), 201 nucleotides. RefSeq lists it as uncharacterized. The record is from RefSeq and is a predicted model, not a curated record. The transcript has 3 exons. NCBI's taxonomy places the organism in Eukaryota, Metazoa, Chordata, Mammalia, Chiroptera, Vespertilionidae.
UAGAGAAGGUCUGGUGGAGGGAUAGAGACUAUAUAAUUUAUUGUUCCAGGUCCUUUUCAAGGUCACAUAAUUCUAAACAGAGAUGGCAGAAUUAAAACCCAGCUUUGAAAAUACUAUGUUGAUGUUAUUUUGUUAGUCAAAUUUUGGCCCCCAAAUGAUGCAUUUUUCACUCAAGCAUUUGGCAUAUUGAGAAAUAGCAAG